UACGGGGGGGGCAAGCGUUGUUCGGAAUUACUGGGCGUAAAGGGCUCGUAGGUGGCCAACUAAGUCAUACGUGAAAUCCCUCGGCUUAACCGGGGAACUGCGUCUGAUACUGGUUGGCUUGAGUUUGGGAGAGGGACGCGGAAUUCCAGGUGUAGCGGUGAAAUGCGUAGAUAUCUGGAGGAACACCGGUGGCGAAGGCGGCGUCCUGGACCAAUACUGACGCUGAGGCGCGAAAGCCAGGGGAGCAAACGGG
This 253-nucleotide ribosomal RNA is filed under the name uncultured prokaryote. RNAcentral describes it as "partial 16S ribosomal RNA". It matches the Rfam family "Bacterial small subunit ribosomal RNA", at positions 524 to 776 of the family's 1533-position model. The record is from RNAcentral.